CCUGGGGCUUCAACGCCUCCCGCAGCCCGGCCCAGCUCCUCCUGAGUCCCGGGAUCUGGGGCUGAGGCCCCACUGCGAAAACCUCCAGAGCCCAGGAGAUGAGCGGUGGACGCUCGGGCCCGGAGCCCCUCGGUGCCCCGAGAUCGCGCUCCAGCCGCGGCCGUUAAGGGUUUUGAUCCGUUACCCAACGGCUGUCGAAAGAGGAGCACGACGUGAACUUCCACCGACAAUCGUUUAAAUACUGCAGGCGAAGGAUGGGUUCUUAUUGUUCUUUCGGGCAAACCGGCAGCUGAGUCCAGCUUGUGAACUUGAACUUGAACUUGCUGAAGAAGCUCCCGGCGGCCCUCUGCUGGCCGCCGCUUUUGCCAGAGGGAGAGGCUGGAGUCACCCUGUUGGGCCGCAUUUCUGGGGCUGGCACCUGUUGGGCUGCCCGGCCGCGCGUACCUGGUCCCAUCGGGGGCUUUGCCCGCUCCGCUGAUGACGAGGGUAGAAGGGAGGCCGCAGGAACACUCUGGGGGGACUGUGCCGGGCGGGCACCCCCCAGCUGCUCACCGUUGGGGUGCAGCGCCGAGGCUUGGUUGGGCUGCAAGGAGACCGACUGGGAUUCCCGGGCUGGUGGCCGGGGAGACGGGGUAGAGGUGAGAAGCAAGAGCCCAGGAGGCCUCAGGCCCCAGCGCUGUGGGGCUGCCGUUGUCCUUCUGGGUGGAGGUCUGGCCAAACCGGCUUUUGCCCCGAGUGAGGAAUUCCUGCUAUUUUUGGUGUUGGUGGAGAGGUCCCUGUUCACAGCGGGGGCGGGGUUCGUCCCCUCCAGGCUAGUAGGGAGCUGGCUGGUGCAUUGCUGUGUUGCUGCCCUUCUGCCCGGUCUCCUGAUCCUGUUCAGACUCUGGGUGGCUCCUUUGAGUCCUCUCAGGCUGUGAAAGAUGGGAAAGGCAGGUUGCUGAAACCACUGCUGCUCCGGGCUGGCAGAGACCCUGAGCUGUACCUCCUGGGAUGAAAGGAGAACCCAGGAGCAGGCGGGUGACCACGGCUUCCUCAUACUCCUCAGCAAGUCCUGGAUAUCCUCCUGUCUGUAACCCAUGGAUACCAUGAACUUAGUUUGCAGGGCGUCCUCCCAGUGGGAGAGUGGCUGCACACAGCGCUUAAGUUCUUCGCUUUCAUGACUCACAUUCAUCCAUGGACCCCUGACACAGUGUUCUGAAGGGUCUCUCUUGCAGCAACUGGCAAUGAGAAAUUUCUUCAGCAAGUUUUCACUCUCUGGGGACAUGGAGGAGGGAAUGGAAUACAUCCUGCUCAGUACCUGCUCUUAUAGCUCCUUGAAGUUCUGUCCAUCAAAAAAUAAGGAUCCAUUUACCAGUAUAUACAGGGUAACUCCCAGACGCCAUACAUUCACCAGCUCAUAUUUGUGGCCCUAGAAGAAUUCCAGGGCAGCCUAAGGGGACUGCCACAAAAGGUAUCCAGCUUGUUGUGAAAGGUGAAUUUAUUCCUGAACCCAAUCUGUGAUGUUCAUGUUAACAUGGACAAUACAUUUCUGGUGACAAUACACAAUAUCUGUGGACAAUGCACUUCUGGUAAGAGCUUGCAUAGCAGACACUUUUGAUGGAAUUUGCUUCAGGCCUCUUUCCUGCUGCUGUGAGCAGGUAUUCACAAACUUGUCGCUAGCGUGCUUUGUGAUGAGGCAGAGAUUCCUCACUAUUGAUCACAGCAAAUACUUCACUAUGUUGGGGUGAUCUGAGCCUUCAUGAUUCCUACUUUGUGGAUGGUGUCUGGAGGCUGGAGGAGAUCUGCUGAGUCUCAUCAAUGAACUUCAUGGCCGCUGCUUUCCCAGUCAGGAUGUCCCAGACCAACCCCACCUUAGCCAGGUUGUCCUUGACGAUGGUCUCAAGGAUCCUAGCUGCCAAUAAGGUCCCUCCUCUGCAGAGAUGGCUGAGAGACCCUGCGGCAUGUGGGACUUACUACUGGACUUGGAGUCAAGGUGUUCCAGGUCGGCUUAAUUUUGGGAAAAGCUGGUGAGAAGCUUGGUCCAAAUCACCUGAAAAGAAAAUCACUUGCAUAGUUCACCUGAAGAACGGAUCUCUAUAAUGGAAUCAAAACACAAUGCUGGACAAAAAUCAAAUAAGCAAAAGCAACAAACUGAAAAGGAAAUGCUGAGUAAAAAAGAACUUAAAAAUUAGAAAAAUAGAAGAAAAAAGAACAAGAAGAACCUGUAACCUCAGCCAAGCCAGGGACUUACAUACGUGCUUGGAAUUCCAAAGCAACAGUUCCUUAUGAGGAAGAACUAAGCCUAGUAGCAAGGCUGAGGAUAAUCUAUGUGACUUUCUCAGGCUUUGGUCUCAAGAACUCUUUACUCUUAAAGAAAAUAUAUUGAGGACCACAAAGAGGAUUUUUUAUUGAUAUUGGUUACAGUUAUGAAUAUUUACCUUAUUAGAAAUUAAAAUCUCUAGGAUGCUUCAAUGGCCUUUUCUAAUUUGAAAAGAUAACAAGCUGGCUGUGGUGGCUCAUGCCUGUAAUUCCAGCACUUUGGGAGGCCAAGGUGGGCAAAUCACCUGAGCUCAGGAGUUUGAGAAAAGGUAUAAAAUGUUUGGCUUUUAAACAGCCCAUAAUAUCUACACUUAAAAUAUUUCAUUUUUUCUUUAAAUUCUAAAUGAUUGGUCUCAAAAUGAUGCCACAACUUAGCUGGCGUUAUGAUAGUGUACAAGUAUGUUCUGUUGUGUAAGACACAAUAAGUUUCAUUAUUACCAUCUGCGACACUGAGGGGAAGAUAGCUUUCAUCAUAUUUUCUUUUUUUUUUUUUUUUUUGAGACGGAGUCUCACUCUGUCGCCCAGGCUGGAGUGCAGUGGCGCAAUUUCGGCUCACUGCAAGCUCCGCCUCCCGGGUUCACGCCAUUCUCCUGCCUCAGCCUCUCCGAGUAGCUGGGACUACAGGCGCCUGCCACCACACCCGGCUAAUUUUUUGUAUUUUUAGUAGAGACGUGGUUUCACCAUGGUCUCGAUCUCCUGACCUCGUGAUCCGCCCGCCUUGGCCUCCCGAAGUGCUGGGAUUACAAGCGUGAGCCACCACGCCCGGCCAUAUUUUCUCAUUUAAAGUUUUGCCCAAUUUCAUUUGCAUAGAUUCCCCUCUUCCAUGAGCUGCUAUGUCAGCCUCAGUAUCUUUCAAUGUAGAGUUUGCAGCUAUGAGUUGAGAAAGCACAUUUUCUACUCUUUUUGAAGUGAAUAAUCCACUGUGCCCGGUGUACCUCUCCUUCAGCAUAGGAUAGGGACUUCCAGGUACUGGACCCGUCACUGGCACCUCAGGGGAGAGAACCCAGAUGCCCCUACAUGAUUUUUAAAGAUGCUUUAUAUGCAUAAAAGUGCACAAAUCAUCAGCCUACAGCUUGGUGACUGUUCACAUAUUGAACUCAUCUAUUUAUCUAGUAUCCAGGUGAAGAAAGAGCCAUUACAGCCCCCCAAGAUCCCACAUCCCUUUUCCAGGCACUUUCUCUGCAGUGAUAACCACUCUUCUGUAUUUUGACAGCAUAGAUUCAUUUUGCUUAUUUUUGAACUUUACAUACAUGGAUUCAUACAGUAUUGGAUCCUUUGUGUCUGCUUCCUUUGCUUAAUUUGUUUUUUGUUUGUUUGUUUUUUUGAGACAGAGUCUUGCUCUUGUUGCCCAGGCUGGAGUGCAAUGGCACGAUCUCAGAUCACUGCAACCUCCACCUCCUGGGUUCAAGCAAUUCUCCUGCCUCAGCCUCCCAAGUAGCUGGGAUUAUAGGGGCCUGCCACCAUGCCUGGCUAAUUUUUGUAUUUUUAGUUGAGACGGGGUUUCGCCAUGUUGGCCAGGCUGGUCUCGAACUCCUGACCUCAUGAUCCACCUGCCUCAGCCUCCCAAAGUGCUGGAAUUAUACGUAUGAACCACUGCGCCUGGUUCUUUGCUCAAUAUUUUUGUGAGAUCCAUCCAUAUUGUUUAUUAUUCUAAAUGCUCAUUGUGUGACUGUAACACAAUUUGUUAAUUUGUUUAUUCAUUUUACUGUUACUGGGCAGUUGAGUAGUUCUCAGUUUUCAGAUGUUAUAGUGCUGCCAUAAACAUUCUUGUUCAGGUUUUUGGGGGACAUAUGUAUGGCUUUCUGUUGGAUAUAUAUAAAUAUAUUCAGGGUAUGGCUGAACAACCACUUGACAGUUUAUGCUAACAAGGUGACUCAUGGUAGGCCCCUUAGGCCAGGUGAUAUCAGCCUGACCUCCAGAGAGUGGGGUGGGGGCUGGAGACUGAGUUCAACCACAUGGACAAUAAGUCUAUCAUUCAUACCUUAUGUAAUGAAGCCCCAAUAAAAACUCGAUGCUGAAGCUCAGGUGAGUGUCCCUGAUUGGCAGUACUCUAUAUGUGUUGUCUCACACAUCCAAAUCAGCAGGGUAAUGCAUUCUGAGGACCCCAGAGGCUUCACAUUUGGAACCCUCUCAGACUCUGCUCUAUGAAUCUCUUUCUUUGGCUAAUUUUGAUCUCUAUCCUUUCCCUGAAAUAAACUGUAACUGUGAGUAUAACA
This is a long non-coding RNA of Symphalangus syndactylus (siamang), 4514 nucleotides long. RefSeq lists it as uncharacterized. The record is from RefSeq and is a predicted model, not a curated record. Lineage: Eukaryota; Metazoa; Chordata; Mammalia; Primates; Hylobatidae.